ACUCAAAGGAAUAGACGGGGACCCGCACAAGCGGUGGAGUAUGUGGUUUAAUUCGAAGCAACGCGCAGAACCUUACCUACCCUUAACAUCCCGUGCUACAUGCAGAGAUGCAUGGUUCCCUUCGGGGACGCGGAGAUAGGUGCUGCAUGGCUGUCGUCAGCUCGUGUCGUAGGAUGUUCGGUUAAGUCCGAUAACGAGCGCAACCCUUAUCCUUAGUUACCAGCAUUAAGUUGGGUACUCUAGGGAGACUGCCGGUGUUAAACCGGAGGAAGGCGGGGAUGACGUCAAGUCCUCAUGGCCCUUACGGGUAGGGCUACACACGUACUACAAUGGCAGAAACAAACCGUUGCGAUACCGCGAGGUGGAGCUAAUCGGUAAAACACUGUCUCAGUUCGGAUUGGAGUCUGCAACUCGACUUCAUGAAGCUGGAAUCGCUAGUAAUCGCUGAUCAGCAAGCAGCGGUGAAUACGUUCCCGGGUCUUGUACACACCGCCCGU
RNAcentral lists this ribosomal RNA (497 nucleotides) under uncultured bacterium. Its description in RNAcentral is "partial 16S ribosomal RNA". It matches the Rfam family "Bacterial small subunit ribosomal RNA", at positions 899 to 1397 of the family's 1533-position model. The record is from RNAcentral.